GAUGAACGCUGGCGGCGUGCUUAACACAUGCAAGUCGAACGGAAAGGCCUCUGCUUGCAGGGGUACUCGAGUGGCGAACGGGUGAGUAACACGUGGGUGAUCUGCCCUGCACUUCGGGAUAAGCCUGGGAAACUGGGUCUAAUACCGGAUAGGACAAUGGUUUGGAUGCUGUUGUGGAAAGUUUUUCGGUGUGGGGUGAGCUCGCGGCCUAUCAGCUUGUUGGUGGGGUAAUGGCCUACCAAGGCGUCGACGGGUAGCCGGCCUGAGAGGGUGUACGGCCACAUUGGGACUGAGAUACGGCCCAGACUCCUACGGGAGGCAGCAGUGGGGAAUAUUGCACAAUGGGCGCAAGCCUGAUGCAGCGACGCCGCGUGGGGGAUGACGGCCUUCGGGUUGUAAACUCCUUUCGCUAGGGACGAAGCGUUUUUGUGACGGUACCUGGAGAAGAAGCACCGGCUAACUACGUG
This 467-nucleotide ribosomal RNA is filed under the name uncultured bacterium. RNAcentral describes it as "partial 16S ribosomal RNA". It matches the Rfam family "Bacterial small subunit ribosomal RNA", at positions 28 to 507 of the family's 1533-position model. The record is from RNAcentral.